GGCGAGGUGGCUUAGUGGUCUAGAGCACUUGACUCAUAAUCAAGAAAUCGCAGGUUCGAAUCCUGCCUUCGCUA
RNAcentral lists this transfer RNA (74 nucleotides) under Microscilla marina ATCC 23134. It matches the Rfam family "tRNA". From Rfam's summary of the family: Transfer RNA (tRNA) molecules are approximately 80 nucleotides in length. Lineage: Bacteria; Pseudomonadati; Bacteroidota; Cytophagia; Cytophagales; Microscillaceae. The record is from Rfam by way of RNAcentral.